Molecule: non-coding RNA, 129 nt
Organism: Triticum aestivum (bread wheat)
Lineage: Eukaryota; Viridiplantae; Streptophyta; Magnoliopsida; Poales; Poaceae
Source: Rfam
UUGACACUGUUCCAAAUUUCUUGUCUUAGAUUUGUCUAGAUACGGAUGUAUCUAAUACUAAAAUGUGACUUGAUACAUCCGUAUCUAGACAAAUCUAAGACAAGAAUUUUGGGAUGGAGGGAGUACUUU